ACGUGCUGGCCCUGUCCACACAGACGUCGACUCCAGCAAAAAUGUCCUGACUGACUUCAGGAGAGAGGAAUUAUUGCUACGUGCCUCUUUCCCAGUGAAGAAAAUCUCUGUUGGCUGCGAGCAGAGAAGCGGCGGAAGGAUUCCCGACUCCGGGAAGCCAGGUGUCGGAAGGAGGAAGUACGCUUGAAGGGGGUCCGGCUGGCCGACUCUGCACUCGUCCGUUCGUGGCCCACCGUGGUGGUCACCAAAUUGAGGGCUUCCUGGAAGGACCUCCUCACGGUGCCCAUCCACUGGGUCAUGUGGGUCUGGGCCACUGUGAGUUUAUCUCCCAGGUAAUCCAUGGGGCCAGCCAGGAGGAGAGGGAAGAAGGAAGUUAGGGAGGGAGAGAGCAAUUAAAACGCCAGUGUCCUCUUGCCUCUUUGGACUCUUUUGCUCAUGGAAGUUUUGGGCUUGCUUGGAGGAAAAAAAAUUAAAAACAGCAGCUUUCUUCAGGCAAACCAAGGGUAAGUAAACAUCCCUGAGCCAGGAGCCGGCUGCAUCCACGGGUGCCGCUCAGAAUUAAGAGGCAGCUAAGUGCCAGGCUGGGAGUCCACCCCAGCGGAGUUAUAAAGUCAACACACUGGGCAGUCCAGGUUCCAGUUCCAGGGCUCACCCAGCUGAUCGGCCGAGACAAGGAGCUUUGAGGAACAAGCCGGCUGCACUCACUCCAGGGCGUGACGGUCCCGAAAGGCGGGGGAUGGGGAUGGGGGUGGGGGUGGAGGGGGCGGCCUUUGGGCACCCUCGUCCUCACUUCCCUUCAGGUAGGCAGCCCCCCUGAGGUGCACCCUGGGAGGUUCCGGUGGGCAAGCUGCCGCACCCUGCUGCCCCCUGCCCGGCUGCCCUCGGCCAGACCCCGCUCACCUGACCCAUGCAGGUUUUCUGUCCUCUGGCUGGAGAUUCCAAACCUGUCGGCCGGCAGGCGGCUAGCUCACUUCCGGAGGCAGCCACCAGGGCCCCCGGGUCCCCUGGCUGAGCAGCCCGGGAUGACAUCAGCCCCCGUCUUAGCGAGGGGCUUCGCUGCCCAGGAAUGCAGGAGGGGCCUCGGGGAGGCGGAGGCGGUGGCGGCGGCCGCCCAGGGAGCUGACGUCCGCCCCCAUUUUUUUCUCCCCCAAGUCCCAACUCGCUCACGGUCCCUCGGGGCUGAUGGCAACUUCACGUGCCUGCCAGCCUACCCACCCCUGUGCCCUCACAGCAAGCGCACCAGGAAAUGCGGCUGCACGUGUGUGCAUGUGUGUGCACUCUGUGUGUGUGUGCGUGUAUGUCGGCGAUCUGGCAGCCCCGGGAAGGUUAGCACUGCUGGGAAACGGCUUCUGCCUCUAAGGUUACAGGCAGCGUCUUGGGACCUCUGGUCGGCUGUCAGUCUGUCUCCCUCUCGUGGUCUGUUUCUCUGUUGAUUUCUCAGCCUCGCUCUCCUCCCUCUCCCUGUGUCUCAACUUCCACUUGCUUGUCUCUAAGCGUCUCUCCUCUCUCUCUCCUUUUCAGCUGUCUCUCCCUCCCUCUCUGGAAGGCAACACUGAUCCAGGUGGAGCAACACCGUCAGUCAGAAGGCAGCGGAUGGCACAGGGCUUCCGCGUAAGGCCUGCAUCGCCUGAGUCAUGGUUUUCUCAUCUUGUAUGAGGCCCACCCCCUUCAAAAGGUUGUGACAAAAAAAACAACUGAGAUAAUUUGUGCCGCUGGCACAUAGUUAACACUCAAUAAGGCCGGGCGCAGUGGCUUACACCUCUAAUCCCAGCACUUUGGGAGGCUGAGGCAGGUGGAUCACUUGAGGCCAGGAGUUCGAUACCAGCCUGACCAACAUGGUGAAACCCCAUCUCAACUAAAAAUACAAAAAUUAGCCAGGCAUGGUGGUGUGCACCUGUAGUCCCAGCUACUUGGGAGCCUGAGGCAGGAGCAUCUCUUGAACCCGGGAGGUGGAGGUUGCAGUGAGCGGAGAUGGCACCACUGCACUCCAGCCUGGGCGACAGAACAAGACUCUGUCUCAAAACAACAACAACAACAAAAUAAUAAAUGGUGACCACAAGGGAUGAUCGUUUUUCUAUUAUAAUUCCUAUCAUCUCACUGUUCAAAUGAAUCACAGGACCCUAGACAGUCAGAAUCAAGACACCAGCAGGGACCAACCUAGGCCAACCUUCCCACUAAACUGAAGAAACAGGCCCAGACCGAGGGCUGCCCUAAGGCCUCACAGUCCAUCUGCAGCAGG
RNAcentral lists this long non-coding RNA (2239 nucleotides) under Homo sapiens (human). RNAcentral's name for it is "non-protein coding lnc-TMEM211-2:10". Lineage: Eukaryota; Metazoa; Chordata; Mammalia; Primates; Hominidae. The record is from RNAcentral.